Eleginops maclovinus (Patagonian blennie) is the source of this 1322-nucleotide long non-coding RNA. RefSeq lists it as uncharacterized. The transcript is spliced from 4 exons. Lineage: Eukaryota; Metazoa; Chordata; Actinopteri; Perciformes; Eleginopidae. The record is from RefSeq and is a predicted model, not a curated record.
AUAAAAUAACUGGGAUCAUUUAGACAUCUGUUUGUUUCUGAGUACAGUCUUUUGUCCUGCAGAAACCACUCUUACAUAACGACAUCCCAUAAUGAUCUCGUCUCACUUGUGUUUCUGGAUGUCCUUCACUCCAUUUUUCUGAUUCCCCAGCCUCUCUGAAGGAUUGUCCCUGAGAAGAAAAACACAUUAGAUGUUUAACAGAAAAGGUCAAACCAGUCCUCUGUUUCACUUCAGCUCAGUGAAGAUCGAUGGCGACCUGCAGAGGCGUUUGAUGAGGUUGGCGGCGCUCUUGGUGAUUUUCUUGGGAAACUCGAUCAUGUCGAUGCCCCGCAGGAUGAUGUUGUACGUCUUCAUGGGAUCAGAGCCUGAAAAUGGAGGGCUGAAGACGGAGAGAGAUAUUAGAGACAUGAUAAACCACACCACAGAAGUUGGAAAAGGGCGUGGCUACAUAAGGAGUGUGUGCAGACCAGCUUGGCGUAUCCCCGGUGGUCCAGGAUGAUGUUCUCUGGUUUCAGGUCUCUGUAGAUGAUCCCUCUGGAGUGCAGGAAGGCCAGAGCCUCGACCACACAGCCGGUGUAAAACCGAGUGACGCCGUCAUCGAACGAGCCCCUGAAACAGAUUCAGAGCUGGAGCUGAGGAAAUCAUGGACCUCAACACACACAAAGGGUCGAUCACACACCUGUCUCUGAGCAGCGUCCACAGCUCUCCUCCCAGGCACGCUUCCAGCAGCAUGUACAGCUCCACUCGACUGAAGCCUCCCAUCCCCAGAGUGCAGAUGAUGUUGAAACUACUCAGCGACACACUGGAAAAGAAAUCUGCUUCUGCCUGCAAACUAGAGGAGGAAACAGAAACACAUCAAACGAGAUCCAAUCUCUUACCAGACAUGUGACGUCUCCCACUGCCGUCACACUCGCUGUACGGACGUCCUCUCUGCACGCAGAAAGGAGGAUUAAUUUCUGUCUCUGGAGGAAGAAGAGUUACUUUGUUGAAGAGGACAUAUUCUUCUCAUGUUCAGGUGUAUAUCAGUAUAGUGUUGGAGAGUAGCUCCCUCUGGAGGGAACACAGGGAUUUUAGUCUUUGCAGACCAUUUACAUGCACUAACACCUAUAGAACACACUACAGGAGGGGGGACAUCGCAUGAAUGAGGCCUCUUUAAACCAAGAAUGACAGUAAACAUCCUGAGCAGACAGGAAUAACCAGAGUCAAGUGAGAAAAGUGGGAAUUUUGUGGAAGCUAUCUGUGAAAAGAAGCAAAAAGAAUUUGAGAUGUAGGAGGAACGCUUUUUCUCCAGACUGCAGUUUCACCCUUUCAGAGCAUGCUCU